GUUGGUCAUUUUACACAUAAUGCGAAAUUUACAGUAUUAGAGCAUCAAAGACACAAUGUGUGUGGUUCUAUUGAUAAAAUAAUGGUGUCAGAACACUCCUGGGGUGUUCUCAGUGGAAUUUUUGUAUUUAUGUAGCAUUUAUAGGGGUUCUAAGGGGGAAAUUCAGUUUUUAGGUAAUUUCUCAGAACAAUUUUUCAUGAAAAUUGUAAGCAAAAAAUUGAAAUAGAAAC
This 230-nucleotide long non-coding RNA is filed under the name Mytilus galloprovincialis (Mediterranean mussel). The record is from RNAcentral. Lineage: Eukaryota; Metazoa; Mollusca; Bivalvia; Mytilida; Mytilidae.